CGGAGGGCGAGGCGGAGAAAGGGGCGACGGAAAUCCGUCGAAAAGGUUUUUGAUUGGAUUGAGAUGGCGUCGAAACGGAUUCUGAAGGAGUUGAAGGAUCUGCAGAAGGAUCCACCAACGUCUUGCAGUGCAGGGCCUGUGGCGGAGGAUAUGUUUCACUGGCAAGCAACUAUCAUGGGACCUGCUGACAGUCCCUUCGCUGGUGGAGUCUUUUUGGUCACUAUUCACUUCCCACCAGAUUACCCGUUCAAGCCGCCGAAGGUUUCCUUCCGGACCAAGGUUUUCCACCCAAACAUCAACAGCAAUGGGAGCAUUUGCCUUGACAUACUCAAGGAGCAAUGGAGUCCAGCACUGACCAUAUCAAAGGUACUGUUGUCAAUCUGCUCGCUCCUGACUGAUCCUAAUCCGG
Molecule: unclassified non-coding RNA, 409 nt
Filed under: Hevea brasiliensis (rubber tree)
Lineage: Eukaryota; Viridiplantae; Streptophyta; Magnoliopsida; Malpighiales; Euphorbiaceae
Source: RNAcentral